UCCAAGAGACUUCCAUGGAUAAAGUAUAGAGUGGUGGAUUGCAGCCAAGGAUGACUUGCCGGCCAGCCGGUAUCGCGUGCUACCGGAGAAAGGGUCGCCGGCAAGUUGUCCUUCGCUACAUUUCUCCCUCUGCUUUUCAUGCAAGUCUCCGGUGAUCCAUUUUUAUCAAAAUGCAAUGAAAUGAAGGUUUAGCAAAAGAUAGAGAGGUAGGCGGCGCCGCCGCAGCAGCCGCGGCGCAAGUCAUCGUAAUAAUGUGAAGGAUAUGAUAGAGAGGUAGCAAUCGCCAUCAACAAUCUAUUUUUGGGGCCAGUUUUAAAGCUCGUUAUCCUAUGUUUGCAUUUCGUUUUCCCUAUUCAUAAAGAGCUUUGUGGUCCAUGGGUGAUAAAAGUGUAUAAUAAUGAGCAAUUUAUAAAAUAAAACCAUCAUCGAUCUAUAAUUGAACGAUAAUGUCUACGAAAAUAGUCUUGUUUUUCUA
This is a non-coding RNA of Salvia hispanica, 475 nucleotides long. The record is from RefSeq and is a predicted model, not a curated record. NCBI's taxonomy places the organism in Eukaryota, Viridiplantae, Streptophyta, Magnoliopsida, Lamiales, Lamiaceae.